Ipomoea nil (Japanese morning glory) is the source of this 357-nucleotide long non-coding RNA. RefSeq lists it as uncharacterized. Lineage: Eukaryota; Viridiplantae; Streptophyta; Magnoliopsida; Solanales; Convolvulaceae. The transcript is spliced from 3 exons. The record is from RefSeq and is a predicted model, not a curated record.
UUUAAGAUUAAGGUGGACAUUUUCUAACUAACAAAUUUGUGUAAAAAUAGGAAUUUACCAAAAUGGUAAUAGACCAAAAAGGGAAACUAUUUUGAACAAAACAAACGGCGUCAGUGCGUCAGCGUCACUAAUCACUAUGUGGGUUGUGCACGUUAGCACACGCGGCCUAAGUUAGAGACAAGCGCUACCGCGGUUGAGAGGGGCUGGAAGUUAAGUUCGAAGUAUAUAUAUAAAGCUGGAUGCAUCGGUGCUAAGAACUCUAGAAGCCUCCAUAGCCUUAAUUCUCAAGUCAAACAAACUUAGGUUUAUCACUCCCCCUAACUGAUAUAUCUAGAGAGAUAGAGAGAGAGAGAGAGA